UGGUGGAGUGAUUUGUCUGGUUAAUUCCGAUAACGAACGAGACCUCAGCCUGCUAAUUAGUGAUGCAAAUGAUUACAUCCAAUUGUGGAGGGGGUUUCAGUAAUAGCUUAGGGUUUGACUUUGAGAUAUUAUUGAAAAACUCGUAUUCAUUUGUUAGAGAUUUGCCUAUCUUUAUUGAUAGAAUAAUCUCGAUAAUGACUUCUUAGAGGGACACUUGGUGUUUAACCAAGGGAAGUUCG
This 239-nucleotide ribosomal RNA is filed under the name uncultured eukaryote. RNAcentral's name for it is "partial 18S ribosomal RNA". It matches the Rfam family "Eukaryotic small subunit ribosomal RNA", at positions 1299 to 1447 of the family's 1831-position model. The record is from RNAcentral.